UCAAACCUCUCUCUCUCUCUCUAAGAAACUCUAAUUUUGUUCUUUGUGUUCGUGAGCUUGUUGUUGAUCGAUUCUUUUGGUUUCAUCCACUCGGAUCUGAGUGUUCCUCGAAAAAUGCUCGAGUUUCGGGGGUUUUCUUAAAAUGCUUCAGAGUGAACUUCAUCGGUAAAUAUUGACAAGUAAACAAGAGACCACCUCAAGUAUGUUCUUUUCAUACUUGCAUGAAUGCAAAAUCCACAAUGCAGAGGUAGGUUUAAACCUUGUAUCAGUUAUGUUAAUGCUUUUGCACCACUGUAAUAUUUAUGUGAGAAUGCACAAAUAUUGUCACAAGAGCAAGAAUCAGGUUAGUUCUAAACAGGAAAGAAGCAACCUAGCGGGUUGAACAUUCCAAGAGCAGUCCGCCUGCCAGGAUUGGGUCUGCAUGCCAAAUCGUAACAGCAACAGCUAUUUAUGGUUUUCAAUUCCAUAUGCGACUGUAGCCUGAUAUAUGCAAAUGAAGCGGGUUAUUCCUUCUUUGCAUUACAAAACAGAAGAGAUGGUGAUCGCUCAUUUGCAGGUUCUAUCAAACUGUUAAUUGAAACAACAUUGCUUGGCAUUAUCAUAAUUUUCUUUUUGAAAAAUAUCGUAUAUUACCACUGGUUUAGAGUUUUGGGAAGAUAGAGAUAGACCUAGAGGUAUGUGUACAGGGUUCUUAUUUCCCACUUUUCCUGGUUCCUGCUCAUGUAGAUUAGUGCAUGUGUAUUAUGACCCUUUCAGAUUAAUGGGGUAGUAGGCAAAAAAAAAGGCUUUGUGAAUAUGAGGUUUCCGGUGUACACACUAGUCAGGAUGUUAAAACAAUCAUUAUUUAUCGCUGCCAGAUGCGCCUGUGGAAUUAUUGUAAUUUCUAACUAUUUUCGGUUUAUAUAAUGCCAUGAGCCUUAACAGGCAGGGUAUCCUUUUGCUAGCUGCUCCUUUUUGUUUAAAGACCUUAACCGUACUGUAACUACAAUCUCCUCUCCAUGAUUUAAAAAAUUGUUGGUUGACUAGGUUCCUAGUAUUGCAAAAUAAAGUUUUUGGUCCUGCUAGUCUAACUGAGUCAGUAUAUGAGGAAGGAGUAAAAGAAUACCCUCUUUGCUUUGAUUAACUUUUAGUUUUGUUUCUGAAUUGAACAAUCAUUUUACAAUAUACAUUGCAGCAACCAUACUUGCACAUGGACAAACCUAGCAGUGGUAAGACAUACAC
Alnus glutinosa is the source of this 1221-nucleotide long non-coding RNA. RefSeq lists it as uncharacterized. NCBI's taxonomy places the organism in Eukaryota, Viridiplantae, Streptophyta, Magnoliopsida, Fagales, Betulaceae. The transcript is spliced from 3 exons. The record is from RefSeq and is a predicted model, not a curated record.